RNAcentral lists this ribosomal RNA (253 nucleotides) under uncultured bacterium. Its description in RNAcentral is "partial 16S ribosomal RNA". It matches the Rfam family "Bacterial small subunit ribosomal RNA", at positions 524 to 776 of the family's 1533-position model. The record is from RNAcentral.
UACGAAGGGGGCUAGCGUUGUUCGGAAUUACUGGGCGUAAAGGGUGCGUAGGCGGCUCAUUCAGUCAGAUGUGAAAUUCCUGGGCUUAACCUGGGGGCUGCAUUUGAUACGUGUGGGCUUGAGUGGGGAAGAGGGUCGUGGAAUUCCCAGUGUAGAGGUGAAAUUCGUAGAUAUUGGGAAGAACACCGGUGGCGAAGGCGGCGACCUGGUCCUUGACUGACGCUGAGGCGCGAAAGCGUGGGGAGCAAACAGG